UAUUUACAGCCUGAGAACCACCCUUGUG
RNAcentral lists this small RNA (28 nucleotides) under Bombyx mori (domestic silkworm). RNAcentral's name for it is "ovarian small RNA-24303". The record is from RNAcentral. Lineage: Eukaryota; Metazoa; Arthropoda; Insecta; Lepidoptera; Bombycidae.